Ostrinia nubilalis (European corn borer) is the source of this 204-nucleotide long non-coding RNA. RefSeq lists it as uncharacterized. Lineage: Eukaryota; Metazoa; Arthropoda; Insecta; Lepidoptera; Crambidae. The transcript has 3 exons. The record is from RefSeq and is a predicted model, not a curated record.
CGUGGCGCCCCUGAUCGCCGCUGCGCUGGUCAUCGCGGCGCUCCUAGUCAUCCUGCUGUGCCUCAUCAUCAGGUGCCGGAGACGACGAGAAAGCGUUGAAUACAAGACUGAUGACUUAGAUAGUGAGAAAACAGUGCUGCCAGCGGACGCGGUAUACUCGCCGCAGCAGGCCGGGCGGCCGGCGCCGCAGCCCAACCCGGCGGC